CGGAUUCGGGCUUAGGAGGUUAAAAGGGGCCAGAUCUAAAUUUUUUCCCUUUUCUGGCCACCGUGUGCGGCGGUGCCGUUGCCGCUGGCCGACGGCCGAAGCGGUGGCCCUUUCGCCGGAUUUUGGGCCGGUGCCCGGAGAAGAAAAAGGGGGUAGAGAGUUUUUUUUGUUUUUUUUUUUGUUUUAAAGAAGGGAGAAAUGAAAAAUUUUUGAAUGAAAUUUGGC
This 225-nucleotide long non-coding RNA is filed under the name Gossypium raimondii (Peruvian cotton). Its description in RNAcentral is "long non-coding RNA (GRAI_LNC000838)". The record is from RNAcentral. Lineage: Eukaryota; Viridiplantae; Streptophyta; Magnoliopsida; Malvales; Malvaceae.